AGUGAACGCUGGCGGCAGGCCUAACACAUGCAAGUCGAACGGCAGCACAAGAGAGCUUGCUCUCUGGGUGGCGAGUGGCGGACGGGUGAGGAAUGCAUCGGAAUCUGCCCAUUUGUGGGGGAUAACCUCGGGAAACCGGGACUAAUACCGCAUACGACCUACGGGUGAAAGCAGGGGAUCUCCGGACCUUGCGCAGAUGGAUGAGCCGAUGCCGGAUUAGCUAGUUGGAGGGGUAAAGGCCCACCAAGGCGACGAUCCGUAGCUGGUCUGAGAGGAUGAUCAGCCACACUGGGACUGAGACACGGCCCAGACUCCUACGGGAGGCAGCAGUGGGGAAUAUUGGACAAUGGGCGCAAGCCUGAUCCAGCCAUGCCGCGUGUGUGAAGAAGGCCUUCGGGUUGUAAAGCACUUUUGUUGGGAAAGAAAAGCAGCCGGUUAAUACCCGGUUGUCAUGACGGUACCCAAAGAAUAAGCACCGGCUAACUUCGUG
RNAcentral lists this ribosomal RNA (490 nucleotides) under uncultured bacterium. Its description in RNAcentral is "partial 16S ribosomal RNA". It matches the Rfam family "Bacterial small subunit ribosomal RNA", at positions 29 to 507 of the family's 1533-position model. The record is from RNAcentral.